Molecule: ribosomal RNA, 252 nt
Filed under: uncultured bacterium
Lineage: Bacteria
Description: partial 16S ribosomal RNA
Rfam family: Bacterial small subunit ribosomal RNA
Source: RNAcentral
UACGUAGGGGGCAAGCGUUGUCCGGAUUUAUUGGGCGUAAAGAGCGUGUAGGCGGUUUGGUAGGUCCGCUGUGAAAACUCGAGGCUCAGCCUCGAGACGCCGGUGGAAACCAUCAGACUAGAGUACUGCAGGGGAGACUGGAAUUCCUGGUGUAGCGGUGGAAUGCGCAGAUAUCAGGAGGAACACCGGUGGCGAAGGCGGGUCUCUGGGCAGUAACUGACGUGAGGAGCGAAAGCGUGGGGAGCGAACAGG